Molecule: ribosomal RNA, 230 nt
Filed under: uncultured bacterium
Lineage: Bacteria
Description: partial 16S ribosomal RNA
Rfam family: Bacterial small subunit ribosomal RNA
Source: RNAcentral
CGGGUGAGUAACGCGUGGGUAACCUACCUUAUACAGGGGAUAACAGUCAGAAAUGGCUGCUAAUACCGCAUAAGCGCACAGAGCUGCAUGGCUCAGUGUGAAAAACUCCGGUGGUAUAAGAUGGACCCGCGUUGGAUUAGCUGGUUGGUGGGGUAACGGCCCACCAAGGCGACGAUCCAUAGCCGGCCUGAGAGGGUGAACGGCCACAUUGGGACUGAGACACGGCCCAG